This is a long non-coding RNA of Perognathus longimembris pacificus (Pacific pocket mouse), 2024 nucleotides long. RefSeq lists it as uncharacterized. The transcript is spliced from 2 exons. Lineage: Eukaryota; Metazoa; Chordata; Mammalia; Rodentia; Heteromyidae. The record is from RefSeq and is a predicted model, not a curated record.
GACUGGCAAAAAAAAAAAAAAAAAAUCCAAAUCACAUUUGGUGAGUACUUAGUCUAUUCUCUACAUGACUCCACUCUGUGUGGAAAAUAUAAAUAAGCCAGGAUUCUUUAACCUACUAUGGCAUUUUUUUUAAAAAAAAGUGCUAAGGGUCAUAAAAUGAAACGAAAUAUUAGAGAAUUCAGAGGGAAGGUAAAAUAUUUUUCCCCCUUGGAGAGACAAAGGAAGGGCUCAUGAGUGAAGUGGCCUUUGAGCUGAGAGAAGAAACAAAAGCACAGGCCAGGGAGGCAAGGCCAUCUGUAGAAACUGAAGCUACCUAGGACAGGAUCUUUCUGACAGGCUGGUCUAUUCUAGGAACCCUUGCAAAGAAUAAUCUAUCUAAAAUGAAGAUAACAUUACAUGGAAUUUCAAGGAUUAAAUCAGUACUAAAAUACAUAAUUUGCUUUAAAAGUAAAUUUGUGAUUGUAUCCUAUUUGAACUUGGUUCUGAUUUGAACUUGGGCUUGAGCUUGAUGAAUGGGUGGCACAAUCUACUUGAACCAUGCUUUCAGCCCCCCUUUUUGCCUUGCUUAUUGUUUGGAGAGGGUCUCAGUUUUUGUCUAGGUGCUGUCCUCGGAUGGUGAACUUCCUAGCUAGAAUCUCCUAGGCAGCUUAUUGAUUGAGAUGGGGUCUUUCUCAUUCUGGGCUGGCCUCAAAUCACAAUCCUCCCCAAUCUCUGUCUCCCAAAUAGAUGGGAUUAUAGAGUCUAAACUACCAUGUUACACUCAAGAUUCUCUAUUAACCCUAUCUAAUAAUAAAAUCUAGCAGGUCAGAUGAUAUUUUGAAAUCGCUACAACAACUAUAAUACAAAAUGGAAAUGUUUGUUUGUUUGUUUACUGGCAACAAAAACAUAAGAACUAUUAGCACUAUGGCUUGUUAUUGACAUUUAUACUGGAAGGAAAUGCUUUAGAGGCUAAGAAAAGUAAAAAUGUCCUUCUGCCCCAUUGAAGUUCAUAAAUUCUGAUGUUAACUAGCUUCAUGAAACUGAGAUAGGAAACGUAAAGAGAACAGCCUAAGCCAAGGGAGAACAGGAGAAAUGCAACCUGCAAAGAGGAUGACAGUGAAAGGCAGGCAAAACCCUCAAAGUCACCCAUGUAAGAGCCCCAAAUCACCCUAAAUAUGAAUUCAUAUAAUGUGGUCUAGGUUUCAGAAUGGUUCCUGCUUUGGGAAUAAAAUGAAAUGAGUACAAAAGCAGGUAAGAAUUUCAUCAAUCCACAGGUGCAAAGUUAGAGCUCUGUUUUUCAAAUGUAACAAAUGACAGCACAUUGAUCAAUAUAUGAAAAUAGUCCAUCUGCCACAGGACCUGUGUGUGACACAACAGUAUGGGUGUAAGUGUACUGGGUGUAAGCAGGUAUAUAAUCAUAGCAUCCAAAUAUUAAGUGAUUAAAAUAGAGGAGGGAUUUUACUUUUGCCUGGUAUUUUUCAGACACUGCAUAACAGGCUACAAGAAGUCCAACCAGGGUUAGGAGACUUAUUCGGGUUUAUACAUAUACUAGAUAAUACAAAAGAGAUAUAAAAAGCCGAUUUCAGAAAUACCCCCCCACACACACACACACAUAUACUCAUCCUGAACAAAACAGUUCAGAGGACAUUCAGAACUGAAUAGCCUUAAACACAAAAUGUAAGUAUAACUAUUAACACCAAUUUCUAUAUUUUUAUUGAUUAAAACACUGAGGCUAAGUCUUUUAUACUGUUGUUGUUAUUUUUUUUAAUAGUUGUGAGGCUCAGUCUUUCAAGUGGCUUAUCCAAAGCCACACAGCAAGUAACUAGAGAAGUCAAAGCUAGAAUCUAUGUCCCGAUGCUUCUGAGCAAAGAAUAUUGUUCUUGUUGAAAGCAAGGGUUUUUCAUUGGCCCAAUCUUGUUAGAUUUCAGCUAUGAUAUCUCGUUGCUAGUAAACUUGUACAAAUUCUCAGAUGUUUCCAAUCAUACGAUUCCCCACAAUUCUUAACCGCCAAGGGUUAUAAGUAAUGAUUAUAAGAUACAAUGAAG